Cricetulus griseus (Chinese hamster) is the source of this 102-nucleotide small nuclear RNA. Lineage: Eukaryota; Metazoa; Chordata; Mammalia; Rodentia; Cricetidae. The record is from Ensembl.
UUGUUUCAGGAGCACAUAUACUGAAAUCAGAAUGAUGCAGAGAUUAAUACCAUGGCCUCUGUGCAAGGAAGGCGCAUAAACUUUGAAGCAGUCUGCAUUUUU